GGAGCAGCAGCAGGGCUUACAGCAGCUGGACUGGCAGCAGCCACAAGAGCCACAGCCUCCCUUGGAGCCCCCACAGGAGCCACAGCUAGAGCAGGAACAGGCUGGCACACAGCAGCAGACCGGCACACAGCAGCUGGAGCCACAGCCUCCCUUGGAGCCUCCACAGGAGCCACAGCCCCCCUUGGAACCCCCACAAGAGCCACAGCCCCCCUUGGAGCCCCCACAGGAGCCACAGCUGGAGCAGGAACAGGCUGGCACACAGCAGCACACGGGCUUGCAGCAGCAGAGGGGCACACAGCAGCUGGAGCCACAGCUCCCACAUCCAGAGCCACAGCCCCCACAGCUGGAGCCACAGCCUCCGGAGCAGCCACAGCAGCCCAUGUUUCUGGUGUGGAAGGUCUGGGGCUCCUCCCAGCGCUCCUUCCUCUCCGGCUUUCUUGGUUGACCACAGAUGCCUCGUGGGGAGGUCCUCAGCUCUCCUGCCCGGCUCAUCUCCAGAAGGCAGCGCCUGGCUCUGUCCCAGGGCAGGAGCCUCAUGCCCUCCUGCGGUUCUGGCCCACCGCCAGCCCCAGAUUUAGGCACUUCCUGCCAAAACCCUCAAAACAGAGCCUUGGGGAGAGUUUCAGCAAAUGCCUGCUCCUCACCAGUCGUGUUCUCACCUUAUUAUUAGUACGCAGUCAUAGCAGUGGGAGGAAUAAGCUCUCAGGGAGGGAGGGGAAGGACAUGUGGCCAGUUUGCCAAUGAGACAGAGACUAGAAGAAAAGAGUCAGUGAGACCAAGGCUGAGGGGUGGAGAAUUUACUUAGUGCUGCGCCCAGACCCAUUUUGGAUUUCCAUAGAUACACGUGAUCAUUUGGGUUAUAGGACAUCCACCUGCAAAUGCCAUGGAACUCCUGGCAGACACAGGAAAGAAAGGUUUGCUGUCUCCCAUGGAAUUAUCAGGAAGGGGAAUUCCAGGCACCUCCUUGAAAUGAAGGCCGUGUCCAGGUGCAGUCUGGCUGAGACACAUCACGGCAUGUAGGAAGGAGGGGCAAGAGUGCCAGUGACAUGGGAUAAUUUUAUCUUAUAGGGAACAGUCAGGGAGGGUUUUAUUCCAUUUCCUCAAGAGCUUGAAAAAGAAGCCCUGAGCAGGGGACUCAUUGUUCAACUCUGGAAGAGGAUAUGUGUCAAGGGUGUCACUUGUUGGGAAGCACAGAUCUUCAGGAGCUACCUGAGAGUUGUCUCUAGAGCCUCAGAUCUUGCACUGGCAACACACGGGGACACAGCAGCUGGACUGGGAACAGCAGGGCUUACAGCAGCUGGACUGGGAGCAGGAUGACCCACAGCCUGAGGAGCAGCAGGGCUUACAGCAGCUGGACUGACAGCAGCCACAAGAGCCACAGCCCCCCUUGGAGCCCCUACAGGAGCCACAGCUGGAGCAGGAACAGGCUGGCACACAGCAGCACACGGGCUUGCAGCAGCAGAUGGGCACACAGCCAGAGCCACAGCCCCCACAGCUGGAGCCACAGCCUUCAGAGCAGCCACAGCAGCCCAUGGUUCUGAUGGGUUGAGGGUAGAGCAGGUAGAGGAGCAGAUGAGAGGGAGGUGCAGGUGUGGAGCCCCCUGAGCCCGGGGCCUUUAUAUUCCCACCCAGGAUCAGGUGUGAAGCUGGGCACAUGGUCACUUCCUGGUUCCUGUUUGUGCCAUUUCCCCAGGGAAAUUUUGUUUGCUUUCUUAAAACUAGAAACAAUCACGUUCUGUUUGCUGUUUUGCAGUUCUGCUUCUGGCUCUGCAUCUCUACUCUGAGUGGUGCAUGCCACACCCAGUGUAUCAUGGAAGAGAAGAUCCCUU
Callithrix jacchus (white-tufted-ear marmoset) is the source of this 1829-nucleotide long non-coding RNA. The record is from Ensembl. NCBI's taxonomy places the organism in Eukaryota, Metazoa, Chordata, Mammalia, Primates, Cebidae.